RNAcentral lists this ribosomal RNA (449 nucleotides) under uncultured bacterium. RNAcentral's name for it is "partial 16S ribosomal RNA". It matches the Rfam family "Bacterial small subunit ribosomal RNA", at positions 29 to 523 of the family's 1533-position model. The record is from RNAcentral.
AACGAACGCUGGCGGCAUGCCUAACACAUGCAAGUCGAACGAAGGCUUCGGCCUUAGUGGCGCACGGGUGCGUAACGCGUGGGAAUCUGCCUUUUGCUUCGGAAUAACAGUUAGAAAUGACUGCUAAUACCGGAUGAUGUCUUCGGACCAAAGAUUUAUCGGCAAGAGAUGAGCCCGCGUAGGAUUAGGUAGUUGGUAGGGUAAAGGCCUACCAAGCCGACGAUCCUUAGCUGGUCUGAGAGGAUGAUCAGCCACACUGGGACUGAGACACGGCCCAGACUCCUACGGGAGGCAGCAGUGGGGAAUAUUGGACAAUGGGGGCAACCCUGAUCCAGCAAUGCCGCGUGAGUGAUGAAGGCCUUAGGGUUGUAAAGCUCUUUUACCAGGGAUGAUAAUGACAGUACCUGGAGAAUAAGCUCCGGCUAACUCCGUGCCAGCCGCCGCCGUAA